AGACCUCGAAUAUUCUCUGCAGACACAUGUGGUUCCUCAGCUCCUGGGGGACCCUGGGACUUCGGAGCAGAUCCCUGAGGUCCCAUCCAUAGGUGAUUCUGGUGGAAGUGUGGCUCAGAAAAAGGAAUGAGCGAAUGGACAGCUACUAGACAUCUGAGCACAGGAGGCUGGCUGCAAAGAAGAAAUUCAAGAACAAAUGCAGAAGAGCCCCUCGUCAGUUUAGUUCAGGAGUCCCUACCCAGGAAUUGGUGCUGUCUACAAUGGGCUGUCUCCUCCCACAUUUAUCAACAUUUAAGACAACUCACCAUAGACCAGCCUGAUCUAGAUAAUUCUUCAACUGAAACUCUUCCCUCAGCAGAAGUAUGGCAGAUACACUCUACAGUCAAUGAGAUUUCACAUCAGAAGAAAAAUCUGCAAAGACAGAACUCUGUAAUCAUUUCAGGACAUUGUCCUGAUGCCCCAUGUUUACUCCUAGAUGCAUGAUAAAUGACUGGUUAUGACUUGUGGUAUGAGAUCUAUUGUUUGUCAUCUGCAGUCCCCUAUUCAUGGAGACUCCAUCUUUUCCCAGUCAAAGUGGCUGUUAUCAAGGAAAUAGGCAACAAAUAGGGAGGGUGUAUGUAUGUUAUGAUGGCCUACAGAGCACUUCAGCAAUGCAGUCAUUUCCACAGCUAAUCUGUGAACACAGGGAUUCUCUCAACUGACUACUGUCUCCUGUAAUUUCUUCAGUGUUUUAAAGCCUUUGUUGAGGAAGCUUUCACCUCUUUGAUUGGGUUUUAUCUCCAGUUUCUUUUUUAUAAGCUUGUAAGCAUGACACUCGCCACCCCACAACACAUAACAUAAUUUCACCCUCAGUAAGUUUGUUAGUAAAGUGUAGAAAAGCUCAAGGAUGGGUCUAGCUUUGCAGAGACUUGAAGUGCCAUGGUGGGGGUAUCCAGGCAGGUCCUUACCUACUCAGAGGAGAAGGUAGGAACACAGGAAGGAUUAUGCAAGGGAGUGACCUGGAAGGGGCCUGUGAGCAGACUUUAAAUAAGUAAUAAACAAAUAAAUUAAUAAAUAAUAUUAAAAAUGUAGAAAAACUACCUUUUUUGCUUGUUUGUUUAUAUUUUGGACAAAGACUUACUCUGUAGCCCAGGCUGGUCUGGAAGUCGCUCUGUACUCUAGGCUGGCCUCAAACCUCACUAUGAUCAGUCUGCCUCAGACUCUCAAGUGCUUCAAUUACACAUGUGAGUCACCAUACCUACCUUGAGAGCCUCUUCAUUCAUGUGUGCUGAUUUUAAUCCUAUUACUUUCCUGAAAGCCUUUAACAGCUCUUAAUGUUUUCUGCUGAGGCUUUUGGGGUCUUUUAAUACAGGAUCAUAUUGCCUGCACAUGGGGAUAGGCUGACCUCUUCCUUUCCUAUUUGUAACCCCCUUCGCACCCCCUCGUGUUAUAGCUCUUAGAUUUCAAGCAUUAUAUUGAAAAGUGCAGAGAGGGUGGGCCCCUUUGUCUCACUCCCAAUUUUAAAUGGAAUGCUUUUAGGUUUUCUCCCUUCUGUAUGAUGCUGUCUAUAGAUUUAUCAUUCUGCCUUUAUUAUGUUGAGGCAUUCUCCCUCUUCUACUUUCUUUGGGGCUUUUAUAGUAAAAUGUAUUGAACUCUGUCAAAUGCAUUUUCUGCAUGAUCCUUUUGGUUUGAGAUGCCACGUGAUUUCUAUCUCAAGUCUGUGUGCUAUAUUACAUAUAUUGAUUUGUGAUAUUGAGCUGUUCUUACACCCAUGGAAUGAAAACAACUUCGCCGCAGGGUAUGACCUUCUUAGUGUGUUGCUAGUAAUCUAUUGAGAAUUAUUGCAUUUAUGGUCGAGAUAGGAGUUGGCUGAUUAGUUUUGUGUUUUUAUUGUAGUCUUACCUAGUUUUGAUACCAGAGUAGUACAGUCCUCCAAGAAUGAGUUUGACAGUGCUGUUGUUGUUGUUGUUUUGUUUUAAUGAAAUCAUAUGGAAACUGUGGUUUUUUCAGUCUGGUAGGAUUCUGUGGUAAGCCUCCUUAGUCCUGGGCUUUUCCAUAUUGGGAAUCCCUUUGUGACUGCUUCAAUACCAUUGUUUGUUUGUUCUAGAUCUCUUUAAGUUGCUUAUAUCCUCUUGAUUUAAUUUCGCUACGUCAGAUGUGUCUACAAACCUAUCAUUCCAUCCUUUCAGAAAUACAUUUUCAAAGUAUUCCCCUAGGAGCCUCUGGAUUUUGCUGGCAUCUAUUUUAGUGUUACCACUGUAUUCUACUUUUAUUAAUUUUAGUCUUUCUUCACAUUGGAUGAGGGCUUGUCAAAC
Molecule: long non-coding RNA, 2294 nt
Filed under: Mus musculus (house mouse)
Lineage: Eukaryota; Metazoa; Chordata; Mammalia; Rodentia; Muridae
Description: predicted gene 4894
Source: RNAcentral